CAGUCGCCGCGGUAAUACCGAGGGUGCAAGCGUUAAUCGGAAUUACUGGGCGUAAAGCGCACGCAGGCGGUCUGACAAGUCAGAUGUGAAAUCCCCGGGCUUAACCUGGGAACUGCCUUUGUGACUGCAAGGCUAGAGUACGGCAGAGGGGGAUGGAAUUCCGCGUGUAGCAGUGAAAUGCGUAGAUAUGCGGAGGAACACCGAUGGCGAAGGCAAUCCCCUGGGCCUGUACUGACGCUCAUGCACGAAAGCGUGGGGAGCAAACAGGAUUAGAUACCCCUGUAGUCCCUGUCUCUUAUAC
Molecule: ribosomal RNA, 301 nt
Filed under: uncultured bacterium
Lineage: Bacteria
Description: partial 16S ribosomal RNA
Rfam family: Bacterial small subunit ribosomal RNA
Source: RNAcentral